AUUGAACGCUGGCGGCAUGCUUUAUACAUGCAAGUCGAACGGUAACAGGCCGCAAGGUGCUGACGAGUGGCGAACGGGUGAGUAAUGCAUCGGAACGUGCCCAGUCGUGGGGGAUAACUACUCGAAAGAGUAGCUAAUACCGCAUACGAUCUAUGGAUGAAAGCGGGGGACCGUAAGGCCUCGCGCGAUUGGAGCGGCCGAUGUCAGAUUAGGUAGUUGGUGGGGUAAAGGCUCACCAAGCCAACGAUCUGUAGCUGGUCUGAGAGGACAACCAGCCACACUGGGACUGAGACACGGCCCAGACUCCUACGGGAGGCAGCAGUGGGGAAUUUUGGACAAUGGGCGCAAGCCCGAUCCAGCAAUGCCGCGUGCAGGAAGAAGGCCUUCGGGUUGUAAACUGCUUUUGUACGGAACGAAACGGCUCUGGUUAAUACCCGGGGCUAAUGACGGUACCGGAAGAAUAAGCACCGGCUAACUACGUG
RNAcentral lists this ribosomal RNA (482 nucleotides) under uncultured bacterium. RNAcentral's name for it is "partial 16S ribosomal RNA". It matches the Rfam family "Bacterial small subunit ribosomal RNA", at positions 30 to 507 of the family's 1533-position model. The record is from RNAcentral.